This 460-nucleotide ribosomal RNA is filed under the name uncultured bacterium. RNAcentral's name for it is "partial 16S ribosomal RNA". It matches the Rfam family "Bacterial small subunit ribosomal RNA", at positions 338 to 795 of the family's 1533-position model. The record is from RNAcentral.
CCUACGGGCGGCAGCAGUGAGGAUUAUUGGUCAAUGGGCGCGAGCCUGAACCAGCCACGCCGCGUGAAGGAUGACGGCCCUACGGGUUGUAAACUUCUUUUAUAAAGGAAUAAAGUGAGGCACGUGUGUCUUUUUGUAUGUACUUUAUGAAUACGGAUCGGCUAACUCCGUGCCAGCAGCCGCGGUAAUACGGAGGAUCCGAGCGUUAUCCGGUUUUAUUGGGUUUAACGGGAGCGUAGAAGGGCUGUUAAGUUAGUUGUGAAAGUCUGCGGCUCAACCGUAAAAUUGCAAUUGAUACUGGCAGACUUGAGUGCAGUUGAGGUAGGCGGAAUUCGUGGUGUAGCGGUGAAAUGCUUAGAUAUCACGAAGAACACCGAUUGCGAAGGCAGCCUACUAAACUGCAACUGACAUUGAUGCUCGAAAGUGUGGGUAGCAAACAGGAUUAGAUACCCCGGUAGUC